UCAGCCGGUGACGUCAACAAAUCAAAUCCUCAAAUUGACGUUAGGUGCGAAUAAAGGUGAGUCGCGGAUAUAGGUGCAAAACGACGUUUUAUUUUUUAUUAAUGCAUAUAUUAUUUUAACAUUUAUUGCCAAGUGAAAUAACAACAACCAAUCUUUUUUAUAAUUAAACAAAACGCAUUUAAGUAGUUUUCAAGAAAAAGAUUAUAUUUAAAUGUUAACUGUUUGUAUCCCCAAAUCUUAUCAAACUGUGGGCAUCUUUGAAUACGUUUGUACUUCUUAAACGCGUUUGGACCGUUUCUCAAAAGUUAUAUAUGCGCAAAAAAGCUUUAUUUUGUGUUUAUAUUUUUAAAAAUUUCGUAUGUCUUUGUUGCAUUAUAUUCUGAUUUUCUCUGUGUAAAAUGGACGUCACUUUCACAGAUAUCAUAUUUACUCUCUAAUGUCUGCGUUUAAAUCUUCUCAAUACAAUUUCCAGUGUGUGUUUUUUUAAAAUGAAAAACAGGUUAUAUGGAACUUGUGUUUUGUGACUUUAAUCGAAGCGAGUUGUUCGUAUGUAUAUUCCUUGCAAUUUUUUGCAACGUAACUUGAGGAAAAAUGUUAGUGAAUCAGCAGACAAAUCACUUUCAGACACUUAUUUUAUUGAUAAGUAUUCGGUUGAAUAAUAAUGCAUUUGAACUUCGCUUAUCAUUAAGAGUUUGUCUUUCGUCAGAAGCCAUUUGUUUAGAAAAAAUUAAGUGUCGUUAAUUCUUUGACACCUCUUUAAUUAAUGAUAAAAAGCAUUUGACAAUAUGUUUAUCGCAAUGUUUGCUCGUUUCUAUGAUAACUUGUUCGCUUUGAUGAGAUUUAUCUGCCCUUUGUUUUGAAUUAUUUUCUUUUUUGUAAGCAUUCAAAAUCUUAUUUGUUUUGCUCACUUUUUAUUUCUAAAAUAUCACUGUCUUGGCCUUCUUUCAGAAUCGCAGUUGUAUAACGUAAGCUUCCGUUUCUACAGUAUACGUUUUUAUCACAUGACAUACCCUGUUUCCCAUGUAAUAUAACAAUUACAUUAUAAUUUACAUAUUUUUUUAAUAUUACACAUGUGUAAUACAACAUUUUUAAGCGCUUUCAUUGGCUUAGUUUUCGUUUAUUGAUCAAUCGCAUUUUGUUAUUAUGCUGAAAUGACGUUGCAACGUCAAAUGACGUCACGAAAUGUAAACAUCAUUCGGGAUUUAUCAUCAUGUUUGCGUUAAUAUUUAUUUAAUUUGCUCAUUUAAAAGCAUUUGAUAAUAAAGAUCUGACACUCGUUGUCAUAUCAUACCAUAUUUUAUUAAACUCGUCCAGGAAAUUCGUUAGUAAGCUCGCCAAAUGCUCGCUUACUAAAAAAAUUCCUGAACUCGUUUAAUAAAGUAUGGUAUGAUAUGACAACUCGUGCCAGAUCCUAUAUGUCUUAAAAUUCCGAAUUCUGUAUCACGCUCAUCUUUGAUGAUCACAUAAUUUAAUUCAGUAUAAUUUGCAAGCACACAUAUCUUAGGCUAUAAUAAUGUAACUAAAAUUAUACCCUUUAAUAUACUAAGCGCGAACAAUAUCUUGGUAAAUUCUGAGUCCAUUUUUGUGCAAAUGUAGCCCUUACAUUUUUCGUCAGAUAAGGUGUAUGUGCAUACAAUUAGAAGCCCAUACAAGUCCGUCCGUAUAUUGACAGCUGUAAGCAUGUUUUGAAUAUUAGACUAAAAUAGUGUUCACCAUAUUUGUACGAAAGGAUAAUAGUGUGUAUUCCACAUAACGAAGAUGGUAUUAUCCAUAGUAAUGAUAGACAUGUGCAUAAUUGUAAACUGUGUAAGGGAACAUGCAAAUCAUAAAGCGAAUGCACGCCAAUCAAUGAUUUGCAUGUAUUCCGAGUUCUAAAAGAUGACAUAUACAAAUGUAUUAACUAGGUCAGUUUCUAAUAUGUUACAAGAUGAUACCAUUUGCAUAUAGCUGAAUAUUUUGUCUUAACAAGUAAGUAUACAUAUAGAAUAUUAUGUGAGUUUUGGAUAAAGAUCCAGUUUAUCAUGCGAGGCUUAGAACCUUGGUAGCGCAUUUAUCAUAUUAUUUUCUCCCAUUUUUCAUUAAUAAACACCAAAUAUCGCAGUUUUUGACAAUUUUGUUCUUCCGUAGUUAGCAAACCCGAGUGAGGCAUCCCGCGUAGAUUUUAUAACAAAGUAGUCCAUGAGAUAUCAAACGUUUUAUUGAACAAACAACCUUUGUAACAUAUGCCACUCAUAAUAUUGUGUUGAAAACGAGACAAAGCUCAUUUAUAUCAAUAACAAUAAAUCAAUAACGAUAGCGCUAUAUUAUUUUCGGGGCACUGGAAUUCACCCGCAAGGCUCGUCGUAGUAAGAAGGUAAGCAAAAAAUUGACAAGUGCUCGUGAGAGAAUUUGAAAUUCAAGACUUAUUUAUUUAGAUCUGUGAGUGAUCCUGUACUCGAGGAGUUAAUGAUAUUGAAGUUAUGGAUGUUAAAGGUUGCCCUAUAAAACUGUGAAGUUAAAAGCCUUGCUGUUGAAACAUUGAAUUCCGUGUUUACAGAGGAAGUUGUGUGGUGGGUGGGGAACAUGAAAUCUGAAUUCAAAGUAUAUUCAGGAAUUGUGACAUACACCGGAUUUGUUUGUGAGGUUAGUGUUGCUGUAAUGUUGUGUUUGUUUUUCUGAUGGUGUGUUCAGACUUCGACUGUGCUUUUGUGGAAGUUGACAAUAUGGCUGCACAUCUUUGAAGUUGCUUUUCAGUCACUGAAGAAUAGUUCAAAAUGUACUGAACAUUCUUAUGACCAGUAAUAGCCAUAAUUUCUGUAGGAGGAACAUCAUGGCCUCGCAGCUUCUGGACAAGAUGUUUUCGCGCAGAGUGGUUUGUGUAACGUUUGCCCUCUGGAAGAUUUGCUGCCACCGCCAUGGUUUUGAGCAUCUUUCCUUAUUUGACUUCUCCAAGGCGUUGUCUCAAAAACCACUGACUGGAGCAACCCUCUCUGGUGCGCGGCGCUAGGUAAAAUGGAUCAUCAUCGUUUGAGAAUCCAUCUGGUCGCUUUGCCGAAUAAGCCUUGUACAUGGCGAUUGGGUCACGAGGAGAAUUAACCUUCCUGUAGUCGCCCAGAUUUUCACCAGUGCGUGUUUUUGUCUGCCUCUCAUGAAACUCUAAGAAUUCAUCACUCUCGGCAGUGGUUCGCAGCUUCACAUCUCCCCAUCUAAAUAAAAGGGAACAUGGAGUGUGUGGACCAAGGACAGCAGUUUCCCACAUCUGGUAUAUGUCCUCAUCAGUUAGAGGUUCAGCUUUCCUUGGGCGGUUGCCUUGGCCCUGUAUAGAGCAAUGUUCAACUGUUCGAUAAUGUCAAGGUUUCACAAGUCAACGCAAAGUCUGUUCCGGAACCGGACAUAAUGCUGUGUGGAAAACGAUGACGACGGAAGUACCGACCCAGCCUCUCAAUGAACUUGGUUCAUAGUCCGACCCAUCCGGUUUAGUUAGAGAGAGGAUAAAUCUUUCCACAUAGUGAUCUAACUGAUCAACGGGAAUUUCAUGUAUUUGCUUUGUUUUGCCUUGUUGUGCAAGAUAUCUGCGAAAUUUGUUGAUAUCAGCAAAUGUUUUUUUUUGCUUUGUUUUUAUUUUCUUGGUCAGUGAUAAAUUUAUUGACAUGUUCAAUGUUAACAUCCUUAAACUCAUUGCUUUUUGAAGUUUCUUGCCUAAUUAAAUCCUUAUUUUGAUAAUUUAUGAGAAUGUUCUCAGAAGCUAGAUUGUCAGUAGCAGUUUGCUCUAGUUCAUUGUCAAAAUCAAACAACACUCUGGCAUCAAACCCAAACAUUGCCUGAAAGUCUUCAUAUGAAAGUUCAACAACAUCUUGUGUAUUUGCAAUUUGCUCUUUGAGUUCAGUUUCAAUGUCACUAUCAUCUAGUAUUAAAUUAAAAUUUUGAUAUUCAAUAUGAUCAGACAUUUGUGUUGAAUUUUAUUCUGUUGCAGACAGCAAUUUUAGUGUAGAAUAUUUAAAACAUAAA
Dreissena polymorpha is the source of this 3987-nucleotide long non-coding RNA. RefSeq lists it as uncharacterized. The transcript is spliced from 3 exons. NCBI's taxonomy places the organism in Eukaryota, Metazoa, Mollusca, Bivalvia, Myida, Dreissenidae. The record is from RefSeq and is a predicted model, not a curated record.